GACGAACGCUGGCGGCGUGCCUAAUACAUGCAAGUUGAGCGAUGAAGAUUGGUGCUUGCACCAAUUUGAAGAGCAGCGAACGGGUGAGUAACGCGUGGGGAAUCUGCCUUUGAGCGGGGGACAACAUUUGGAAACGAAUGCUAAUACCGCAUAACAACUUUAAACAUAAGUUUUAAGUUUGAAAGAUGCAAUUGCAUCACUCAAAGAUGAUCCCGCGUUGUAUUAGCUAGUUGGUGAGGUAAAGGCUCACCAAGGCGAUGAUACAUAGCCGACCUGAGAGGGUGGUCGGCCACCUUGGGACUGAGACACGGCCCAAACUCCUACGGGAGGCAGCAGUAGGGAAUCUUCGGCAAUAGACGAAAGUCUGACCGAGCAACGCCGCGUGAGUGAAGAAGGUUUUCGGAUCGUAAAACUCUGUUGGUAGAGAAGAACGUUGGUGAGAGUGGAAAGCUCAUCAAGUGACGGUAACUACCCAGAAAGGGACGGCUAACUACGUG
This 497-nucleotide ribosomal RNA is filed under the name uncultured bacterium. Its description in RNAcentral is "partial 16S ribosomal RNA". It matches the Rfam family "Bacterial small subunit ribosomal RNA", at positions 28 to 507 of the family's 1533-position model. The record is from RNAcentral.